AAAUUCGGCCCUCCCCUUGGAUUUUUUUUAAAGGCCCCCGAUCCUUUGUCCGGCCAAAGGUAGCAUAAUAAUUAGUUUUUUAAUUGAGAACUGGUAUGAAUGGUUGGACGAGGAAAAGGCUGUCUCAAUUUAAUUUAAUUAGAAUUUUAUUUUUAAGUAAAAAAGCUUAAAUGUUUUUAAAAGACGAGAAGACCCUAUAGAGUUUUAUAUAAAAUUAAUUUUUGGCGUAAAAGAAUUUAAAGUUAAAAAAUUAAUUUUGUAUUUGGUUGGGGUGACUAAAAAAUUUAAUGAACUUUUUUUAAAAUAAACCAUUGAUUUUUGAAAAAAGGGACCC
RNAcentral lists this ribosomal RNA (334 nucleotides) under Heteronitis castelnaui. RNAcentral's name for it is "partial 16S ribosomal RNA". The record is from RNAcentral. Lineage: Eukaryota; Metazoa; Arthropoda; Insecta; Coleoptera; Scarabaeidae.